CAGCAGCCGCGGGAAUACGAAGGGGGCUAGCGUUGUUCGGAAUGACUGGGCGUAAAGCGCACGUAGGCGGAUCGAUCAGUCAGGGGUGAAAUCCUGGAGCUCAACUCCAGAACUGCCUUUGAUACUGUCGAUCUCGAGUCCGGAAGAGGUGAGUGGAACUCCUAGUGUAGAGGUGGAAUUCGUAGAUAUUAGGAAGAACACCAGUGGCGAAGGCGGCUCACUGGUCCGGUACUGACGCUGAGGUGCGAAAGCGUGGGGAGCAAACAGGAUUAGAUACCCCUGUAGUCCCUGUCUCUUAUAC
RNAcentral lists this ribosomal RNA (301 nucleotides) under uncultured bacterium. RNAcentral's name for it is "partial 16S ribosomal RNA". It matches the Rfam family "Bacterial small subunit ribosomal RNA", at positions 509 to 807 of the family's 1533-position model. The record is from RNAcentral.